Molecule: ribosomal RNA, 497 nt
Filed under: uncultured bacterium
Lineage: Bacteria
Description: partial 16S ribosomal RNA
Rfam family: Bacterial small subunit ribosomal RNA
Source: RNAcentral
GACGAACGCUGGCGGCGUGCCUAAUACAUGCAAGUAGAACGCUGAAGAGAGGAGCUUACUCUUCUUGGAUGAGUUGCGAACGGGUGAGUAACGCGUAGGUAACCUGCCUUGUAGCGGGGGAUCACUAUUGGAAACGAUAGCUAAUACCGCAUAACAAUGGAUGACACAUGUCAUUUAUUUGAAAGGGGCAAUUGCUCCACUACAAGAUGGACCUGCGUUGUAUUAGCUAGUAGGUGAGGUAAUGGCUCACCUAGGCGACGAUACAUAGCCGACCUGAGAGGGUGAGCGGCCACACUGGGACUGAGACACGGCCCAGACUCCUACGGGAGGCAGCAGUAGGGAAUCUUCGGCAAUGGGGGCAAACCUGACCGAGCAACGCCGCGUGAGUGAAGAAGGUUUUCGGAUCGUAAAGCUCUGUUGUAAGUCAAGAACGGGUGUGAGAGUGGAAAGUUCACACUGUGACGGCAGCUUACCAGAAAGGGACGGCUAACUACGUG